RNAcentral lists this ribosomal RNA (433 nucleotides) under uncultured bacterium. RNAcentral's name for it is "partial 16S ribosomal RNA". It matches the Rfam family "Bacterial small subunit ribosomal RNA", at positions 29 to 507 of the family's 1533-position model. The record is from RNAcentral.
AACGAACGCUGGCGGCAUGCCUAACACAUGCAAGUCGAACGAGACCUUCGGGACUAGUGGCGCACGGGUGCGUAACGCGUGGGAACCUGCCCUUAGGUUCGGAAUAACUCCCCGAAAGGGGUGCUAAUACCGGAUAAUGUCUUCGGACCAAAGAUUUAUCGCCUUUGGAUGGGCCCGCGUUGGAUUAGCUAGUUGGGAGGGUAAAAGCCUACUAAGGGGUCGAUCCAUAGCUGGUCUGAGAGGAUGGUCAGCCACACUGGGACUGAGACACGGCCCAGAAUCCUACGGGAGGCGGCAGUGGGGAAUAUUGGACAAUGGGCGAAAGCCUGAUGCAGCAAUGCCGCGUGAGUGAUGAAGGCCUUAGAGUUGUAAAGCUCUUUUACCCGGGAUGAUAAUGACAGUACCGGGAGAAUAAGCCCCGGCUAACUCCGUG